AAUACCAUUAAUUUUCAUGAACCCCUAAUUUAUAAUGAAUGACUCCAUAUUUAUAUGGAAGACACCAUGCUAGGAUUAGUAACAAGAAUUUAUAAUUCUCCAAAAUGCAAAUAUAAACCAACAUGGAUAGACCAUUGGUAGUUACCGAACCUAAAUUUACUGCAAUAACACCCACAAGAAAACUCUGCAGUACUUACUCGUUAACCUAACACCAGCGCAUUACAGGAAAGAUUAAAAAAAAGAGAAGGAAUUCGGCAAAUGACGGCCCCGCCUGUUUACCAAAAACAUCGCCUCUUGACUUAUAAUAAGAGGUCCAGCCUGCCCAGUGAAUUUUAAACGGCCGCGGUAUCCUAACCGCGCGAAGGUAGCAUAAUCACUUGUUCUUUAAAUGGGGACUCGUAUCAACGGCAUCACGAGGGUUUUACUGUCUCCUCUUUUUGAUCAGUGAAAUUGAUCUUCCCGUGAAGAAGCGGGGAUAUUUUUAUAAGACGAGAAGACCCCAUGGAGCUUUAAACCAAAUAACAACUUAACUACUUAUCCCACAAUAAAUUUAAGCCCUGUUAUAAGGUUUUUGGUUGGGGUGACCGCGGAGUAAAGCACAUCCUCCACGACGGAAAGAACAUAAUCUUUAUUUAAGAACCACACUUCUAGAAAUUAGUAUACUAACGUUUACUGACCCGACAAUCGAUCAACGGACCAAGUUACCCUGGGGAUAACAGCGCAAUCUACUUCAAGAGCUCAUAUCGACAAGUAGGCUUACGACCUCGAUGUUGGAUCAGGGUAUCCCGGUGGUGCAGCCGCUACCGAAGGUUCGUUGUC
This 819-nucleotide ribosomal RNA is filed under the name Polypedates leucomystax (Java whipping frog). RNAcentral's name for it is "partial 16S ribosomal RNA". It matches the Rfam family "Bacterial large subunit ribosomal RNA", at positions 1513 to 2581 of the family's 2925-position model. Lineage: Eukaryota; Metazoa; Chordata; Amphibia; Anura; Rhacophoridae. The record is from RNAcentral.